GGUUUCUCCCUUCUGACGAAUCACGAUGUCAUUAUAUUUGGUGUCUGUGGGGAAUCAGGACUGUUACUUUGAAAAAAUUAGAGUGUUUAAAGCAGGCUCACGCUUGAAUACAUUAGCAUGGAAUAAUGAAAUAGGACGUUUGAUUCUAUUUUGUUGGUUUCUAGGAUCGACGUAAUGAUUAAUAGGGAUAGUUGGGGGCAUUAGUAUUCAAUUGUCAGAGGUGAAAUUCUUGGAUUUAUUGAAGACUAACUACUGCGAAAGCAUUUGCCAAGGAUGUUUUCAUUAAUCAAGAACGAAAGUUAGGGGAUCGAAGACGAUCAGAUACCGUCGUAGUCUUAACCAUAAACUAUGCCGACUAGGGAUCGGAUGAUGUUAAUUUUUUAAUGACUCAUUCGGCGCCUUACG
RNAcentral lists this ribosomal RNA (405 nucleotides) under uncultured Glomeromycotina. RNAcentral's name for it is "SSU rRNA". It matches the Rfam family "Eukaryotic small subunit ribosomal RNA", at positions 689 to 1092 of the family's 1831-position model. The record is from RNAcentral. Lineage: Eukaryota; Fungi; Glomeromycota.